UUUUCCAACCCUUUCGUUAAAAAAUGCAGUGAAUCCAUGUUAGAGGAAUAUAUAAUACCGACACCGAUUUUAUCCUGCGUGCAAAUAUACGCUUCGAACCGAGCAAAUCAAAUGCAAGAGUGGCGCGAGUGUAGUGUGUGUACAUAAUGCGUUUAGUGCUCUAGGAAGCAAGCAACAGUCUGUUUAGUUGCACCGGAACAUCGGUCGAAUCAUUAUCAUUAUCAACAUCUGGCGGUCUCUCUGGAUACACCGAACCGCACACGUACGCAGCAAAAAGGUGGGAGGAGUAAGUAAGACAAAAAAAAACAAAAUGAAACACGCCGAAAGCCGGGGGUCUGCCCCGAAGGUGAAGGUUCCGCUGAAGGAAGAAUCCUCCUCCUACCGGGUGCAUAUAGCGCUCGGGCUGUUUCUUGUGAUAAUGUUCCUGUCCUUCCCGACGCUAUGUGGCGCUCACGGACAGCAUGCCCACGAUCAUGACCAUGAUCAUGAUCACCACCAUCAUCACGAAAGUCCCAGCUUUAAGUAUUCGAAGCAUGCGAACGAGAUGUACGAGGAAGAACCGGUAGCGGUUCCACAUCAUCACCAUCACCAUCAUCAUGGUGGAGAUGAGAACCACGACCAUCAUCACCACCAUCAUGAUGGCGGUCAUCAUCAUCAUCACCAUCAUCAGGAAAAGCCAACUGGUGACAGUAAACCUCCGAGAGAUACGUUCUACAUCUGGGUGCAUUCCCUUGGCUCGACGUUGCUGAUUAGUGCGGCACCGUUUUUCAUCCUCUUUGCCAUUCCGCUAGAUAACACGGAAGAGAUGCAGCCACGGUUAAAAACACUGCUUGCGUUCGCUUCGGGCGGUUUGUUGGGCGAUGCCUUCCUGCACCUGAUCCCACACGCUAUUCAGCCACAUUCGCACGCGGACGGUGGUCACUCGCACGGUCACGGCCACAGCCACGGGCACUCUCAUAAUCAUCAUCAUGGUGAGGAAGGCGAAAGCCAUGGGCACGAUAUGCGUGUCGGACUGUGGGUUUUGGCUGGAAUUAUAGUGUUCCUGGCGGUCGAGAAGUUCGUGCGUUUGAUAAAGAAAGAUACGGGACAUGGGCAUGGUCAUGGACACAGUCACGGUGGAUCGAAACCGGUGGCUGCACCGGCACAAGACAAAAAGGCUGCCAAAAGCUCGCCACCACCAUCCCCAACCGAGGGUAAGAAGGAGAAGAAGGACGGUGGCAAGAAGCAACCGGAAGGUAGCACGAAGUCGAAAAAGGAGGAAGCGAAAGCAAAGGGCAAAGCCGUGCGGAAAGAACCGAAGAAGGAGGCUACCAUUAAGAUCGCCGGCUAUCUUAAUCUGGCGGCCGAUUUUACGCACAACUUCACGGAUGGUUUGGCGAUCGGUGCGUCUUAUCUGGCGGGUAACAGUAUCGGCUUGAUCACCACGAUCACUAUCCUGCUGCAUGAGGUGCCGCACGAAAUCGGUGACUUUGCCAUCCUGGUAAAGUCGGGAUGCUCCAAGAAGAAGGCGAUGCUGUUGCAACUAACGACGGCCGUCGGUGCGCUGGCCGGUACCGUGCUUGCCCUGCUGGGCAGUGGGAGUGAUGCGGCAGAAUCGUGGGUACUUCCAUUCACCGCCGGUGGCUUCAUCUACAUCGCGACCGUAUCGGUGAUACCGGAGCUGCUGGAAGAGUCCACCAAGCUGUGGCAAUCGCUGAAGGAAAUUACGGCCAUGUUGGCCGGCGUGGGCAUGAUGGUAAUUAUUGCAAAGUUUGAAUAGAGCAAGCGGUAGAAGUACGAGGUCCGGUGGCUGCCGUCUAUCUUCCUGUACCUUCGUCAUCGUCACACUUCUAUACAUAUACUACGGAUCGUGUCUGAAGGUGAUUGAACACACGAUAGAACAAAGAUGAGAUUUACUUUACUCUCGAAGCACAUCGUUCUGCGUUUUUAUCGUUAUACAAGCGUACGCGUUGAAACGAAGCUGGGCUUUGUAAUUGUUCUUUCUUUGCACGCAUCUUGUAUGCGCUUUCUUACCGAUCUAUAUGCAAUGUUAUCGCCAACGGGUUUGUUGUGGCCGAUUUGUAGAACGAAUUUAGAAGAGUAAUAAAAUAACUGUUUUAAAUAUGAUCAUGGGAA
This is an RNA transcript of Anopheles stephensi (Asian malaria mosquito), 2115 nucleotides long. It is a transcript of the gene named protein catecholamines up, with no coding region annotated. The record is from RefSeq and is a predicted model, not a curated record. The transcript is spliced from 3 exons. NCBI's taxonomy places the organism in Eukaryota, Metazoa, Arthropoda, Insecta, Diptera, Culicidae.